This 433-nucleotide ribosomal RNA is filed under the name uncultured bacterium. RNAcentral describes it as "partial 16S ribosomal RNA". It matches the Rfam family "Bacterial small subunit ribosomal RNA", at positions 29 to 507 of the family's 1533-position model. The record is from RNAcentral.
AACGAACGCUGGCGGCAUGCCUAACACAUGCAAGUCGAACGAGACCUUCGGGUCUAGUGGCGCACGGGUGCGUAACGCGUGGGAACCUGUCCUUAGGUUCGGAAUAACUCCCCGAAAGGGGUGCUAAUACCGGAUAAUGUCUUCGGACCAAAGAUUUAUCGCCUUUGGAUGGGCCCGCGUUGGAUUAGCUGGUUGGUAGGGUAAAAGCCUACCAAGGCGACGAUCCAUAGCUGGUCUGAGAGGAUGAUCAGCCACACUGGGACUGAGACACGGCCCAGACUCCUACGGGAGGCAGCAGUGGGGAAUAUUGGACAAUGGGCGAAAGCCUGAUCCAGCAAUGCCGCGUGAGUGAUGAAGGCCUUAGGGUUGUAAAGCUCUUUUACCCGGGAUGAUAAUGACAGUACCGGGAGAAUAAGCUCCGGCUAACUCCGUG